AUGUCUCUUCAAUACUAUCUGAGACUGGCUCUGGUUGGUUUGGCUCUUUCUGUUGUGGGAUGUUUGCCUGAAGUAUCAAUAGGAGAUGUCACGGAUGAUUCAAAGAUCAAAAUACAAGCUCUGGAAAGUUUCAAAAGUGUUAAUCCACCCAUUCAAAAUCCAAUAAGAGGCAGUCUUCAAAGCAACAGAGAACAGUUUAACAGCAAAUAUCAGCUGCCGUGGAUCAGCUCUGCCUCAUACAACCAGAGAAAUGAUGUCAACUCAGUCUAUUCAGUCCCACAUAAAGUCCAGUCCAAUAUCAGAAAUAAACCUGUUGAAUUAUCAAGCGCCAAAUUUAAUGAUGAAAUUGAUGCCAAAAGAAGCUAUGCUUCCCAAACAGUCCAGCAGGAACAAAAUACUUUAGACGUUAAAGGGAGCCAAAUUAGCUCUAGUAAUAUUAAUUUGGCCCCAAGGCUGGUGAGGAAAAAAGGUGGAAUGCAUGCAGCAUAUGUGCAUAGAUCAGGCUCAUUUGGACAUCAACAUAUUUCUAAAUCAGAAAUGCACUCAGGCAGUUCACAACCAUUAGGACUCAAUGAACCUUAUUUGAAGGAAAAUAUUCCAACUAAUUAUAUGCCUAGAAGCUCAACAGUGAACCACAAUAUGAGGCACAAAAGUAAUGGAAACAUGCUGAUGGAAAAUUUUCUUCAAAACAAUGGCCAGAAUCAAAACAUGCUGAGGAGAGUUGUACCAUCAAAUACAUCUCCCUCAAUUGUAACAGCAAAUCAGCAAAAGAGCCAACCAUUGCCACAAGCUUUUUCUGCUGGGACUGGAAUCAUUUCUCAAAUUUCCUACGAGAAUAUGAGGGACGUAGCUCUUUCAAAGGUGUUCAAAACGCCAAUCCCAACACCAAUAUCACCUGCAUUUAAGAGAUCAAAUUCAAAUGGAGGUCCUAGCAUCCUUCCAUUAAUAAAAUCUCAGAUGUUUUCUUCUCAGCAGGAUCACAUCAAGCUGUCUAAUUCUGAAAGGGUUGCCAAUCCAAAAGCAAAUCUGCAAAGCAGUUUUGAAUUUGGAAAUACAAAUAGCUACAUGCUCGAGAACAUUCAGUCGACACAAAAUGGUUACCAAAAUGGGGGACAAAGUAGUCAGAAUGUUGUGCCCAUUCAAACCUUUCACAAUCAAAAGAAGUAUGAUAAUCUGGCUACAGGUAUAUCUGCCAUCAGGCCUUCAGUCACCAAUAAUGCCCACUCUUACUUCCUAUCAGAUGAAAACAGUGGCAUCCAGAUGUCUGCACUACUCAAACGGUCAAAAGAAAUCACUGACUUGACCCCACGAAUGCAGUUUGGAAAGAACAAAAUGUUAUUUUCAGAACGUGAUACAAAUAUUUAUCUACCAGACCUAACAAAUCAUUCAUUGAGGAAGCCAAGUCAGCAUAAUGCGCAAAAUAGGUCACAUCUGAAUUCCUUCGGCCAAAGUACUGUACAAUCGUUAUCCAUUAAACAUUAUCCUGCGCCAAGUCUUGUGCCAGGUAACACAUUGAAGAGUCAUGUCCACGGCUUUAGUCCAUCUGUGGCUGGGACUCAGGGCGCAUCUAAAAAUUCAGGUACGUCUAGUAGCCGACCAUAUUAUCUAACUUUUAAAAAGCCAUAUGCUUUUAAAGGUUUCACAUUUGUCCCUACAUUGCAGACAUCGCUACAAAAAUCAGAAAUGCACUCUGGCCAAAAGCCCCUCUUAAAGUCUUUAUCUAAUGUGCAAUAUGCCCCUGCUCGUUCACAUACCGCCCAAAGUGCACUCGCUCAAAAACCCUUGAUGCAUAAGAGCUACAAAAAAAUGCUUUUCCAGUUCAAGGACAUUGAAUCAAGCCAAGAAAAACAACUUUAUUGGGAUCAGACAGAUUCUUUUGAUAAUGGACCUAAACGUGAAACCAUCUCUUCUACUGAAGGUGCAAGUAACCUGAUGUCUGAUGCUCUAAAGCACCAUGCUGUUAGAGGUCAAGCUGUAGCAAUGAAAACAUCUCUCAGUGGCACAAAUACUACAAAUAAUGUAGCUGUUGACGAAGUUCAGUCAAAAACAUCUCAGAGGUGGACUUCAAGUAGGCUUACUUCAGCACAGCCCUCUAAAUCUAACAAAGAUGAAUUCCCAACAGGCAGUUUUGUUAGAUCCAACUUAAACAAAGCAUCCAUAAAAUCUAGCAACAGUCAUAACAGUCCCACAUCAGAGCUUAUUCUUCCAAUUCAUAAGUCUUCUCUUAUGAACAAAGUGACUGGGUAUCCUCGAAUACACAAUGCUGCUAUCCAGCCACUUCGCAGGUAUGUUUUGAAGGAACAUGAAGGUGUGUUAAAUCCAACAAAGGAAAUUAAAGAUAGAAAUUCUACUGGAAUAACACAGUCAAAUACUACUGAAAAUUAUAGCCCCAUUAGACUGAGACCGACCAGCAGCUUUGCGAUUGGAAGGCAAGUUAAAGACAAUUCAGACCACCAGAACAUCUAUGCUAUCUCAACCUCUCAAUCUGCAAUUUAUAGAUCUGCUGGCAUUAAUAGUCAAAAAACGGAUGGCUCUACAAAGCUCACUUUCCAGUCACCUAUGCACAGAUCUGCUAUGAAACCUUCUGGCAAAGUUAACAUCCUAAAAGCUAAUGCAGCUUCAGACUGGAGGAACGAAACGUCUCCAAUCUCAGAAGCAGAUAUCAACCUUAGUGCCGUCAGUGUGUCCCAGGCUUUAAGACCCACAACCAAACCCAACCUUAACAUGUCUAUGACAAAAUCAGGCCUAAACAAUUAUAAACCAGUUCAGAUUUCCUAUAUAGCAGGUAGCACCUCCUUCACCGAUGUCAAACCACAUUCUGCUAACACCAAGGCGAAGGAAGAAGUGGAUCUCGAAAGUGAUCAAAACAGCAGUAAUUCAACAUCAGUGAUGGAGGAAAGUUUUAAAGAGCUGGUUUUAGACAGUUCCUCUAUGAUCUCAGCCUUACAAAAUGAAAUGGAUGAAAGUGCAAUGGAUUUACGCGUCCCUGAGCUUAUGCCAACAGCUGCUUAUGAGUCACAGCUGGAGCCUGGGAAUCAUACCACACCUACAGCAGAGGAUAUUGAUCCAUUUUAUGAGGGGACAUUGAUACCCAAUACCACUUUGCAGGACGAAAUGACCUCAAGUUGAGAUCUGCCCGCAUGCAAUCCAAUGGCAGCCGUCCUUAACUGCAAUGUGAGGUGAUUUUCUCUUCUGUAGGUAGAUGGCGCCAGAUCUAUCCUCACAUUAAUUUGCAUUAAAUUUCUGAGUUCUGAGUUUCAUAGUUUGUUCUUUACUUCCCGCUGAUAGUCAUGAUUUUGGAAGAAAAAAUGUGGAUGAUAUUAACCAUUUUUUCCCCAAGCAAUAUAUUCAGAUGUCUUAUAUCAAACCGAAUUUGAAAACAGUAAACCUUGCAUCCAAAUAUAACUUUCUGUUAUUGAAUAUAAAUCAUGAAAUUAGUUUACUGAUGUGAGGAUGGGUUCAGACAUGUGAGCACACUUUGUUUCCAUGCCAAUAAUUUUUUCUCUCUCGAUAUUAUAGUCUCCAAAGUCCAUGGAUUUGAAUUGAGUUUUCUUGAAGUAUCACUGACAAACUGUGAUUUUAAUUAUUCAGGCCAAGCUAUUUAAAACUUAAUCACUUAAUUAUUAUUAUGAGCAGACAUUUUAACGAGGCAAGAGGUCUUUCUUUAGGUCAUUCCUGUUGUGCAGUAACUUUUCAACUCUGGAACUUUUAAGAUAAUUAAUAAUGUGUUGUAAAUUAAGCAAGUAUUUCUAUAAAAGUGAAUACCAGACUUUAAGAAAUAAGCUCUGGUUAAAAUCAGGGACUUAAGCAUUAUUUAUUAUAAUUUGACUAUUUACACAGUGCCAAGAAAAAGAACAGGACUGAAAUAAGGACCACCUUAACAAUACCCAAGAGUAAGUUUAACUGACAAUGUCAACUUGGUUAACUGUGAUAUAAAACAGAAUCAAUCAGAAUUUAUUGCUAAAAUGUACUUACAUGUGUGCUGUUGUUUCCCCACCAAAACAAUUUCACUUCCUUUGGUUUGAUGUCAUUGAGAUGUCACUUGAGACUGGUCUUUUUUGUUUAAAGAGAAAUUAAGUACAUGGGUAAAUAGGCUAUAUUCCCGUGUGAACAUGUUUUGUUGAAACAUUAAAGAAUAAACAAACUGCAACAUCUGCUCCA
Long non-coding RNA from Cyprinus carpio (common carp), 4161 nucleotides. The record is from Ensembl. NCBI's taxonomy places the organism in Eukaryota, Metazoa, Chordata, Actinopteri, Cypriniformes, Cyprinidae.